GGGUUGUGAGGUUAAGCGAACAAGCGUACACGGUGGAUGCCCUGGCAGUCAGAGGCGAUGAAGGACGUGCUAAUCUGCGAAAAGCGCCGGUAAGGUGAUAUGAACCGUUAUAACCGGCGAUGUCCGAAUGGGGAAACCCGGUGCACUUCGGUGCAUCAUCGUUAGCUGAAUACAUAGGCUAACGAGGCGAACCGGGGGAACUGAAACAUCUAAGUACCCCGAGGAAAAGAAAUCAACCGAGAUUCCCCCAGUAGCGGCGAGCGAACGGGGAACAGCCCAGAGCCUGAAUCAGCUUGUGUGUCAGUGGAACGGUCUGGAAAGGCCGGCGAUACAGGGUGACAGCCCCGUACACGAAGGCACACAGGCUGUGAGCUCGAUGAGUAGGGCGGGACACGUGAUAUCCUGUCUGAAGAUGGGGGGACCAUCCUCCAAGGCUAAAUACUCCUGACUGACCGAUAGUGAACCAGUACCGUGAGGGAAAGGCGAAAAGAACCCCGGCGAGGGGAGUGAAACAGAACCUGAAACCGUGUACGUACAAGCAGUGGGAGCCUUCGUAAGAGGGUGACUGCGUACCUUUUGUAUAAUGGGUCAGCGACUUAUAUUCUGUAGCAAGGUUAACCGUAUAGGGGAGCCGAAGGGAAACCGAGUCUUAACCGGGCGUUAAGUUGCAGGGUAUAGACCCGAAACCCGGUGAUCUAGCCAUGGGCAGGUUGAAGGUUGGGUAACACUAACUGGAGGACCGAACCGACUAAUGUUGAAAAAUUAGCGGAUGACCUGUGGCUGGGGGUGAAAGGCCAAUCAAACCGGGAGAUAGCUGGUUCUCCCCGAAAGCUAUUUAGGUAGCGCCUCGUGAAUUCAUCUCCGGGGGUAGAGCACUGUUUCGGCUAGGGGGCCAUCCCGGCUUACCAACCCGAUGCAAACUGCGAAUACCGGAGAAUGUUAUCACGGGAGACACACGGCGGGUGCUAACGUCCGUCGUGAAGAGGGAAACAACCCAGACCGCCAGCUAAGGUCCCAAAGUCAUGGUUAAGUGGGAAACGAUGUGGGAAGGCCCAGACAGCCAGGAUGUUGGCUUAGAAGCAGCCAUCAUUUAAAGAAAGCGUAAUAGCUCACUGGUCGAGUCGGCCUGCGCGGAAGAUGUAACGGGGCUAAACCAUGCACCGAAGCUGCGGCAGCGACACUAUGUGUUGUUGGGUAGGGGAGCGUUCUGUAAGCCUGUGAAGGUGUGCUGUGAGGCAUGCUGGAGGUAUCAGAAGUGCGAAUGCUGACAUAAGUAACGAUAAAGCGGGUGAAAAGCCCGCUCGCCGGAAGACCAAGGGUUCCUGUCCAACGUUAAUCGGGGCAGGGUGAGUCGACCCCUAAGGCGAGGCCGAAAGGCGUAGUCGAUGGGAAACAGGUUAAUAUUCCUGUACUUGGUGUUACUGCGAAGGGGGGACGGAGAAGGCUAUGUCGGCCGGGCGACGGUUGUCCCGGUUUAAGCGUGUAGGCUGACUUUCCAGGCAAAUCCGGAAGGUUAAGGCUGAGGCGUGAUGACGAGGCACCACGGUGCUGAAGUGACAAAUGCCCUGCUUCCAGGAAAAGCCUCUAAGCAUCAGGUAACAUCAAAUCGUACCCCAAACCGACACAGGUGGUCAGGUAGAGAAUACCAAGGCGCUUGAGAGAACUCGGGUGAAGGAACUAGGCAAAAUGGUGCCGUAACUUCGGGAGAAGGCACGCUGACAUGUAGGUGAAGCCCCUGCGGGUGGAGCUGAAGUCAGUCGAAGAUACCAGCUGGCUGCAACUGUUUAUUAAAAACACAGCACUGUGCAAACACGAAAGUGGACGUAUACGGUGUGACGCCUGCCCGGUGCCGGAAGGUUAAUUGAUGGGGUUAUCGCAAGAGAAGCUCCUGAUCGAAGCCCCGGUAAACGGCGGCCGUAACUAUAACGGUCCUAAGGUAGCGAAAUUCCUUGUCGGGUAAGUUCCGACCUGCACGAAUGGCGUAAUGAUGGCCAGGCUGUCUCCACCCGAGACUCAGUGAAAUUGAACUCGCUGUGAAGAUGCAGUGUACCCGCGGCAAGACGGAAAGACCCCGUGAACCUUUACUACAGCUUGACACUGAACAUUGAGCCUUGAUGUGUAGGAUAGGUGGGAGGCUUUGAAGCGUGGACGCCAGUCUGCGUGGAGCCGACCUUGAAAUACCACCCUUUAAUGUUUGAUGUUCUAACCUGGCGCCGUGAUCCGGCGUGGGGACAGUGUCUGGUGGGUAGUUUGACUGGGGCGGUCUCCUCCCAAAGUGUAACGGAGGAGCACGAAGGUCAGCUAAUCCUGGUCGGACAUCAGGAGGUUAGUGCAAUGGCAUAAGCUGGCUUGACUGCGAGAGUGACGGCUCGAGCAGGUGCGAAAGCAGGUCAUAGUGAUCCGGUGGUUCUGUAUGGAAGGGCCAUCGCUCAACGGAUAAAAGGUACUCCGGGGAUAACAGGCUGAUACCGCCCAAGAGUUCAUAUCGACGGCGGUGUUUGGCACCUCGAUGUCGGCUCAUCACAUCCUGGGGCUGAAGUAGGUCCCAAGGGUAUGGCUGUUCGCCAUUUAAAGUGGUACGCGAGCUGGGUUUAGAACGUCGUGAGACAGUUCGGUCCCUAUCUGCCGUGGGCGCUGGAGAAUUGAGGGGGGCUGCUCCCAGUACGAGAGGACCGGAGUGGACGCAUCACUGGUGUUCGGGUUGUCAUGCCAAUGGCACUGCCCGGUAGCUAAAUGCGGAAGAGAUAAGUGCUGAAAGCAUCUAAGCACGAAACUUGCCCCGAGAUGAGUUCUCCCUGAGACUGUAAGUCUCCUGAAGGAACGUUGAAGACGACGACGUUGAUAGGCCGGGUGUGUAAGCGCAGCGAUGCGUUGAGCUAACCGGUACUAAUGAACCGUGAGGCUUAACCUUACAACGCCAAAGAAGU
RNAcentral lists this ribosomal RNA (2927 nucleotides) under Cronobacter sakazakii. RNAcentral's name for it is "bacterial LSU rRNA". It matches the Rfam family "Bacterial large subunit ribosomal RNA". The record is from RNAcentral. Lineage: Bacteria; Pseudomonadati; Pseudomonadota; Gammaproteobacteria; Enterobacterales; Enterobacteriaceae.